GAAUAUUGAGAGUACAAGCGGGAAUUUUAAGGAAGGUCCAGGGAGCUUCUGCGGCCCAGCAGCCCCUCAUUGAUGGAAAAGGAUUUGAUUGCCCAAAGCCCAGAUCCAGGAAUGAAACUGUCCUCUAGAGGGUGCCAAAGACCAAGCCAGGUCUGGAACCUGCAUAGGCACAGUCCCCACCCCUCCCAGCUCACCCAGCAGGAGGAGGCUGCAGUCCAAGGGCUUCGUUUCUAGUCAGGCGUCCUCUGUAAGGAGCUAACUCUUCCACUGUGGCCUCAGAAGCCUGAGCCUCUGCCCCUCACGCUCCUCUGCAGAUUCUAAGUGAGUUCAUGAGGGCAGAGACGUAGCCCUGGAAGUGGGAGAGACCUGCCAUAUUCCCUUCGUAUGUGUGCUGUCAGGGUCAGGGAUGAGGUAAGACCAGAAGUGGAGCUGUGUGGGCCAGUGGCGCAGUGGAUAACACGUCUGACUACGGAUCAGAAAAGUGGAGCUGGGGUCUUGGAUGAGGUCAGAGCCUGGGCAGAGUUGGAUUGGACUGGGGUCAGGUUGGUGAGAGAGGGAACUGGGGUCUGUGUUGAGGACCGGGAUCAGGCCCUAGGCUGGAUGCUGGGGAUGGAGAGGUGGAGAAGACACAAUCUCAUCUGUCCUUUGGGAGAGACAGGUAAGUAGCAGGUAACUUAGGAGACUCCAUGGUAAGGUGGAAGGAAUAUAGGCAGCAGCUAACCCAGUAUGGAGGGAACAAGGGUCUUCCAGAACAGGUGACAUGGGGGCAGAGUCCUCCAAGAUAAGCAGGGGGAGGAGGGGAAUGAGGAUAUUUGAAGCCAUCUGAAGCCUGAUCAGAUUGUGAGAAAACCUGGGAAGUGUGCCUGGCAUGCAGAGGGCUGGAGAACUGGGCAGAAGUAGACCGUGAAGGGCUUUGUCUGCUGGGCCAAGUGGUUCAGACUAUCCUGAGGGCCUGAGGAGCCUUGGAAGGGUUCUAAGGAAAGAGAAGAGCAAAGUAGCCAACCUGGGGUUCCUGAGGCCCCGGGGCAUCCUGCAGGCCCGGGUGCAAUUGGGACUGGGCUCGGUAAAGGGGUCUUGCUGGAGAAAGAGAACAGGAGAUAUCAGCCCCUGGGCACUCACUGCAGGAGUCCACGGGAUUGCCCAGGAAGCACCGGGAGUGGGGCAAGGGCCAGGGGGUGGAUUCUUGGGAACAGGAGAUGACUGAGAAGCAGCAGGGGAGAGGGAGAUGGAAACCCGGACACUGGGCUGCCCAGACGGCGUGGGAGCCGGCAGGUGGUUGUGGCCCCAGACUUGGGUGCUGGAGGGACCAGCCAGCCAAGUGUUUACAGAGAACUGCAGUGAAGAGCUGGAGGGGAUGGAUGAUGUCCGGCAGCACUGAAGAAGCACAGGCCAAGGGGGCAGAAAGUUCAACUGUGGAGAGAAGAGAGGCAGCUAAAGCGGCCACCAGCGUGGGAGUCAGGGUCAGACUUUCGAAGCAGAUUCUUUUGAGCCACAGAAUCCUUUGUGUAACUCAGGAGCCCAUGAUGUAAACAGAGGAAAGACUGAGAUCCAGAGCUGGCCUGGCCCGAGCCUCAGGUGUCCCAGGGUUUCCUCUUCAGCUGUGAAUUCCCUACGCCCUGGCUGAGAGCCUAGACUCCCUGUUCUCCAGGUCAUCCUGUUCAUCCUCCCUGCCUUCCAACAAGACAGCCCAUGGAGGGCCUGGAUGGCAGCUGGGCCUACGGAGGCUUCUCUCUGCAGUCAGAUGUCCCUUGGCUUAGAAGAUGCACCCUGAGACUGGGGGCCCAGGCCUGGACUGGCCACUGCCUUACACAGUAGCUUCGUGCAAGUCACCUGUAUGAGAGACUCAGCCUCCUGUUCUGUGGAACAGCAGUAAGGAUGUGGACCAGUUGACUU
Molecule: long non-coding RNA, 1893 nt
Organism: Lemur catta (Ring-tailed lemur)
Lineage: Eukaryota; Metazoa; Chordata; Mammalia; Primates; Lemuridae
Exons: 4
Source: RefSeq, a predicted model, not a curated record